Stegastes partitus (bicolor damselfish) is the source of this 274-nucleotide long non-coding RNA. RefSeq lists it as uncharacterized. The record is from RefSeq and is a predicted model, not a curated record. The transcript is spliced from 2 exons. Lineage: Eukaryota; Metazoa; Chordata; Actinopteri; Pomacentridae.
CGCUGCGCAGAGAGCAGCAGCAGCAGCAGCAGCAGCGCGGUCCGAGCAGCCCCGCGUCCAGAUCAGCCACUAAUUAAAGUGGAUUUAAUCUGUUUCCAAAAAAAAAAAAAGAGGAGAGCGGCUCUGCAGGGAAUAACGUGGAUGGGACCGACGGAAACAAAAAGCAGGAGUCCUGGUGCAGGAAACUGACCCUCCAGUCACAGCGUCACAGGAGCCACCUGGUCAGAUGAGCGCGAAAAUAACAUCAAGUACAGCAACGGUACCAACAUUAAAA